CCAAAUGUAGACCAAGCAC
Molecule: small RNA, 19 nt
Filed under: Arabidopsis thaliana (thale cress)
Lineage: Eukaryota; Viridiplantae; Streptophyta; Magnoliopsida; Brassicales; Brassicaceae
Description: ATSL080150
Source: RNAcentral